RNAcentral lists this long non-coding RNA (231 nucleotides) under Elaeis guineensis (African oil palm). RNAcentral describes it as "long non-coding RNA (EGUI_LNC042698)". The record is from RNAcentral. Lineage: Eukaryota; Viridiplantae; Streptophyta; Magnoliopsida; Arecales; Arecaceae.
GCUAGAUGGUUACAUUGAUUGGUUCAAAAAUUUAUUUCUGUGCUAUCGGCUUAGGUUCGAACCUAUGGGGUUACACUCAAAAGUAGUUUCUAAUUGAUCAUGUGGCUGAACAAUGAUUGAAAAUCGUUCGAGGGCUUAAUCGUCAAUUCGAUUGAUCAUUAAUUUUAUGCAAAAAUUAUAAUAAAUUUAUUCACCAAGUAUUAAUAAAAUUAAUAAAAAAAUUAAUUAAUA